Molecule: transfer RNA, 73 nt
Filed under: Paramuricea clavata
Lineage: Eukaryota; Metazoa; Cnidaria; Anthozoa; Malacalcyonacea; Plexauridae
Rfam family: tRNA
About the family: Transfer RNA (tRNA) molecules are approximately 80 nucleotides in length. Their secondary structure includes four short double-helical elements and three loops (D, anti-codon, and T loops). Further hydrogen bonds mediate the characteristic L-shaped molecular structure. tRNAs have two regions of fundamental functional importance: the anti-codon, which is responsible for specific mRNA codon recognition, and the 3' end, to which the tRNAs corresponding amino acid is attached (by aminoacyl-tRNA synthetases). tRNAs cope with the degeneracy of the genetic code in two manners: having more than one tRNA (with a specific anti-codon) for a particular amino acid; and 'wobble' base-pairing, i.e. permitting non-standard base-pairing at the 3rd anti-codon position.
Source: Rfam by way of RNAcentral
GACCACGUAGCUCAGUUGGCAGAGCAUUGGGCUAGUAUUCCAAAGGUCGUAGGUUCGAUUCCCGCCGUGGCCG